Numida meleagris (helmeted guineafowl) is the source of this 1741-nucleotide long non-coding RNA. RefSeq lists it as uncharacterized. Lineage: Eukaryota; Metazoa; Chordata; Aves; Galliformes; Numididae. The record is from RefSeq and is a predicted model, not a curated record. The transcript is spliced from 9 exons.
UUGGCGCCAAACCACAGCUGGGAGCUGCCGCACACCUGCCUGAGGAGAGGUCUCUGUGAGGAGGUGGCCAAAGCCUGGGCUGCAUCCCUAACUGCUAAACUGUUUCGAAAAAGAUGAAAAAAACUGUAUUUACCACUACUGGAUAGCUGGUGGAGUACAGCAAGAAAGCUCACGUUAUCAGAGAGCAUCGCCAACAGUAACUGGUGCUGGCAAGUGGCAGAAUGAGAAGCUGAACUGUGUUUAUCUUGGAUAAACCCAGUCAGCGCUGCAGGAGGUUCUUGAAUUCCUUCAAUAGAAGACUGUUGAACAGAAAACUUAUUUGGCAGUAAGAUAACUUAGUGAACUCAAGACAGGUCAUCUAUGAAGAUUCCGUCUGGACAGGCUGGUUCUUCAGCUUUGAAUUUCAAUUGCCAAAUGCCAGGUUUCCUCGGGUUUCAGACUGUCGCUUAAGGACACGGACAUUUGGAAAGAGAAAACUGUAGCCUGACUGGAAGCAAAGCAAGAGACUACAUAUGAGUCCCUUGAUUCUCCACAUCUUUCAUGCUAGCAAGACCCAGGAAGCUUUAAUAUUUCAGCUGCUCUGCCUCCAGUGGCUGGUCUGUUUGAAGGCUGCGGGGAAGCUGCUGGACUUGAGGAUAUGAUGAAAUUUGGUUAGACAGGUGGAUAACCUAAGCUGAAUUAAUUAAGGUGAUGAAGAAUGCUGAUGGUAUGAGAAGGCAUGGCUUCUGGCUCAGGUAGCACAACUGCCAAGACACUUCCACUGAUAGACAGCUUCGACUUUCGCCUUCAGAGGAGUCCAAUUCACAAGCUGGAGCAGCGUGUGCCCACCGUGAUAGGAAGGGAGUGGCAAGAGCCAAGCUGCUGUGUGCCAGGCAAAGGAGUGAAACACAUAGGAGUGUUUUCUGCUUCUCAGUAGAUGUACUCAACAAACAUUCAGAUUUUCAGAUGGGCAGGUGUCUCAAGGCAUUAUGAGCUACUGCAGUGCUUGCCGGCUUGGGUUACCUUCUGAAGUCUGCUGCAAGAGGAUCAGGUUUUUGGGAAACAUUUGUAAAUAGUGAUAUGUGGUUUCCAUGUGCUUAAACUGUGAUGCACUGUGACCAUCUUUUUUAAUAGGCACUUUUCUAAUUUCUUAAUGACACUUGUAAUCAUUGUGAUUUAAAUAAGUUUUGAUGAUUCAUAUAGUUGAGGCUAAAUGUUGUAAAUCAAAGCUAUUGAUAAACCUCAUGAUACAGGAAGCAAAAGCCUGAUUUUUUAAAUACUCUAAGCCCUCCCCUUGCUUGCACACUUGCACAUGUAUGCACAGAGACACGCAUGCAUGUACAUGCACAUUUCAGCUCUAACAUAGAAAAUGUGCUCCAAUCGUGGUGGAUGAAAGUGUUACAUGAGAGCUUGUGAAGCCUGCUUUGGCAGGGGAGUUGGACUGGAUGAUCUCUAGAGCUCCCUUCCAGCCCCUACAAUUCUGUGUUUCUCUGAUUCUGUGAAGCACUGUACACAAAUGUUGUGCUGAACAGGGCUGCUCUGGAGUCAGAGGGUGCCUGUUCACAGUUUUCCAGGAGGCUAUUGGGUUUGGUUGCCUGCAGAACCAGGAAAGCUGCACAAUGUUUGAUCAUCUUCUGAAAAAUGUUUUGCAAAUGUUAAGCCUAGGAACUGAAAUUCUGCUGUUCCAUUAGUAAUGUAGGAAGUAAGUGUUAGUGCACUGCCGAAAAAUUAUCUGCAAUUGAUAAUUUGCAUCUUACGGAGC